RNAcentral lists this transfer RNA (71 nucleotides) under Bos taurus (domestic cattle). It matches the Rfam family "tRNA". Rfam says of the family: Transfer RNA (tRNA) molecules are approximately 80 nucleotides in length. The record is from Rfam by way of RNAcentral. RNAcentral also lists the same sequence under 4 other names. Lineage: Eukaryota; Metazoa; Chordata; Mammalia; Artiodactyla; Bovidae.
UCCAUCAUAACUCAGUUGGUAAAGAAUCUGCCUUUAAUGCAGGAGACCUGGGUUAGAUCCCUGGGUUGGAG